CAGGCUUAACACAUGCAAGUCGAGGGGCAGCAUGGUCUUAGCUUGCUAAGGCCGAUGGCGACCGGCGCACGGGUGAGUAACACGUAUCCAACCUGCCGUCUACUCUUGGACAGCCUUCUGAAAGGAAGAUUAAUACAAGAUGGCAUCAUGAGUCCGCAUGUUCACAUGAUUAAAGGUAUUCCGGUAGACGAUGGGGAUGCGUUCCAUUAGAUAGUAGGCGGGGUAACGGCCCACCUAGUCUUCGAUGGAUAGGGGUUCUGAGAGGAAGGUCCCCCACAUUGGAACUGAGACACGGUCCAAACUCCUACGGGAGGCAGCAGUGAGGAAUAUUGGUCAAUGGGCGAGAGCCUGAACCAGCCAAGUAGCGUGAAGGAUGACUGCCCUAUGGGUUGUAAACUUCUUUUAUAAAGGAAUAAAGUCGGGUAUGCAUACCCGUUUGCAUGUACUUUAUGAAUAAGGAUCGGCUAACUCCGUGCCAGCAGCCGCGGUAAUACGGAGGAUCCGAGCGUUAUCCGGAUUUAUUGGGUUUAAAGGGAGCGUAGAUGGAUGUUUAAGUCAGUUGUGAAAGUUUGCGGCUCAACCGUAAAAUUGCAGUUGAUACUGGAUAUCUUGAGUGCAGUUGAGGCAGGCGGAAUUCGUGGUGUAGCGGUGAAAUGCUUAGAUAUCACGAAGAACUCCGAUUGCGAAGGCAGCCUGCUAAGCUGCAACUGACAUUGAGGCUCGAAAGUGUGGGUACCAAACAGGAUUAGAUACCCUGGUAGUCCACACGGUAAACGAUGAAUACUCGCUGUUUGCGAUAUACAGCAAGCGGCCAAGCGAAAGCGUUAAGUAUUCCACCUGGGGAGUACGCCGGCAACGGUGAAACUCAAAGGAAUUGACGGGGGCCCGCACAAGCGGAGGAACAUGUGGUUUAAUUCGAUGAUACGCGAGGAACCUUACCCGGGCUUAAAUUGCAGAUGAAUUACGGUGAAAGCCGUAAGCCGCAAGGCAUCUGUGAAGGUGCUGCAUGGUUGUCGUCAGCUCGUGCCGUGAGGUGUCGGCUUAAGUGCCAUAACGAGCGCAACCCUUGUUGUCAGUUACUAACAGGUUCCGCUGAGGACUCUGACAAGACUGCCAUCGUAAGAUGUGAGGAAGGUGGGGAUGACGUCAAAUCAGCACGGCCCUUACGUCCGGGGCUACACACGUGUUACAAUGGGGGGUACAGAGGGCCGCUACCACGCGAGUGGAUGCCAAUCCCAAAAACCUCUCUCAGUUCGGACUGGAGUCUGCAACCCGACUCCACGAAGCUGGAUUCGCUAGUAAUCGCGCAUCAGCCACGGCGCGGUGAAUACGUUCCCGGGCCUUGUACACACCGCCCGUCAAGCCAUGGGAGCCGGGGGUACCUGAAGUGCGUAACCGCGAGGAGCGCCCUAGGGUAAAACUGGUGACUGGGGC
RNAcentral lists this ribosomal RNA (1434 nucleotides) under uncultured organism. RNAcentral describes it as "16S ribosomal RNA". It matches the Rfam family "Bacterial small subunit ribosomal RNA". The record is from RNAcentral.